GACGAACGCUGGCGGCGUGCCUAAUACAUGCAAGUAGAACGCUGAAGGAGGAGCUUGCUCUUCUGGAUGAGUUGCGAACGGGUGAGUAACGCGUAGGUAACCUGCCUGGUAGCGGGGGAUAACUAUUGGAAACGAUAGCUAAUACCGCAUAAGAGUAGAUGUUGCAUGACAUUUACUUAAAAGGUGCAAUUGCAUCACUACCAGAUGGACCUGCGUUGUAUUAGCUAGUUGGUGGGGUAACGGCUUACCAAGGCGACGAUACAUAGCCGACCUGAGAGGGUGAUCAGCCAGACUGGGACUGGGACACGGCCCAGACGCAUACGGGAGGCAGCAGUAGGGAAUCUUCGGGAAUGGGCGGAAGUCUGACCGAGCAACGCCGCGUGAGGGAAGAAGGUUGUCGGAUCGUAAAGCUCUGUUGUCAGAGAAGAACGAGUGUGAGAGUGGAAAGUUCACAGUGUGACGGUAACUGAUCAGAAAGGAACGGCUAACUACGUG
RNAcentral lists this ribosomal RNA (495 nucleotides) under uncultured bacterium. Its description in RNAcentral is "partial 16S ribosomal RNA". It matches the Rfam family "Bacterial small subunit ribosomal RNA", at positions 28 to 507 of the family's 1533-position model. The record is from RNAcentral.